Molecule: long non-coding RNA, 1663 nt
Filed under: Medicago truncatula (barrel medic)
Lineage: Eukaryota; Viridiplantae; Streptophyta; Magnoliopsida; Fabales; Fabaceae
Description: long non-coding RNA (MTRU_LNC000733)
Source: RNAcentral
UUGGCCAAACACCAACACAAACAGUUGAGAGGAAUAUCAUCACACACCUCACGUGAAACAUGAUUGUAUUCUCUCAGUCGGUGAUUUCUUUCUAUUUUUUGUCGCAAAAAUGUUUGGCUUAAUACAUACCAACCUCCAUCUAUCCCUAUUUAUUUGUCAUAUUUGAAUGGUAGAAGAUUCUCAAUAAAAUGAUUAGUUUCAUUAAUUUUAAAGUCAAAUUAUUUAUACACAUUAUUUUAAGAGGUUAAAAUGGAAUAUAUUAUCACAAAAGACAUGUCAACUAGGAGAAGGUGAAAAAUUAAAUUACAGCAGUGAAGUACAUCAAAAUGUUUUGUCACCAAACCUUGUAGUGAAAAUCGAAGGACAUAAGCUUCGAUUUAAACCACCAAACGCUAAAAUUUUAACUUACUCAAUGAUGGAAUGAAUAGUUUUCUUCUUAUGUUGAUACACUUGUUUCUCUCUUUUCAGAUAACGUAAACAACUACUAGCCAAAUCAUCUUGAAAGCUAAACAAAUGUUUUUUGAAAAAGCUCCCAAACCACAGAAGUGAUGAAGAUGUGAUAAAAUGUUACGAGAUGAUGUCGAACAAAUCCCUAACCAGCCACAAAUCAAAUAUCAAAUAUUACCAUAAAAAACACAAGUAACAAACAUAUGAUCUCUAUCCUCAGUACACCCACAUCCGCCUGUACAAAGUUGAUCAUUAAUGGAAAGCACUUGACGUCUCAUUAAGUUGUUUUUGGUAGGAAGACGAUUCUGAAACAAAACGCCAAGCAAACAUAGAGACCUUUAACGAGACCUUCUUAAUCCACAGAAUAUGAUAGAAAUCGUUGUAACCGUUGUCCACCACAUCAUGAUCUAACACCUGGGUCAGUAGCUAAUAGGCGCUACUCACAGUGUAUCUAGAAGAUUAAUGAAAUCUCCACCUCCACCUAUCCUCCACAUCAACGCGUAAAACAACAAUAUAUAACAAAUCGACACACUCCCUCACCAUCUCCUCCUCCCAAGCAAACAAUCUAUGUCUCCACUUCCAAGUUUCCCCAUUUACCCCCCCCCCCCCCAACCUAAGUAGAACAUGUCAGCUACAAAAACAAAUGUAUUCUCUACCAGAUCAAAAAAUCUAAGGAACCUAGUCAACAACAACACUCUUUCUAACCAUGUGUCCUUCCAAAACAGAGUGGAAGAGCCACCACCCACCAGCCUAAAGGAAAAUCGAAUUCAAAACAGAAUAAGCAGCAGGUAAAAUUUUUCGAUUUUCUUUCCUUAGAUCAUUACGAAUUACACAUGAAUCAGUGAUUCGAUUGUUACCUCGAAGUGUGAAAUCUGAUAGUUGGAAACUGAAAACUGGAAUCACGAUCACAGUAAAGCAAGCAGUAAGCAGCAAAGCCUCUAGCAAGUCCACACGAACAGUGUUCCUCAAAAACUCGGUGCUAGUCAAGGAAUCAGAAGUUUCAGAGAGCUAGGGUUUCUCCAAAAACGUGCAAUCUCAAACUUCAGCAUUAGGGUUCUAUUUAUAGAACUCCUUGUGUGCUCUGCAAGUCAGAAGUCACAAUUGGGUUUCAGUAAGCCCAAUAACGUGUUUAGUAAUUCUGAUAACUAAUUAGCGUUGUUUACUAAACGCACCCCUUAUAUAAGUCAUACUUAUAUAUUUCUCUUUAGACUGUUCU